Molecule: ribosomal RNA, 490 nt
Filed under: uncultured bacterium
Lineage: Bacteria
Description: partial 16S ribosomal RNA
Rfam family: Bacterial small subunit ribosomal RNA
Source: RNAcentral
AUUGAACGCUGGCGGCAGGCCUAACACAUGCAAGUCGAACGGUAACAGGAAGAAGCUUGCUUCUUUGCUGACGAGUGGCGGACGGGUGGGUAAUGUCUGGGAAACUGCCUGAUGGAGGGGGAUAACUACUGGAAACGGUGGCUAAUACCGCAUAACGUCGCAAGACCAAAAAGGGGGACCUUCGGGCCUCUUGCCAUCGGAUGUGCCCAGAUGGGAUUAGCUAGUAGGUGGGGUAACGGCUCACCUAGGCGACGAUCCCUAGCUGGUCUGAGAGGAUGACCAGCCACACUGGAACUGAGACACGGUCCAGACUCCUACGGGAGGCAGCAGUGGGGAAUAUUGCACAAUGGGCGCAAGCCUGAUGCAGCCAUGCCGCGUGUAUGAAGAAGGCCUUCGGGUUGUAAAGUACUUUCAGCGGGGAGGAAGGGAGUAAAGUUAAUACCUUUGCUCAUUGACGUUACCCGCAGAAGAAGCACCGGCUAACUCCGUG